GCCCCCAUCGUCUACCGGUUCAGGACAUCUCUCUUUCAAGGAGGCAGCGGGGAUUCGACUUCCCCUGGGGGUA
Non-coding RNA from Morus notabilis, 73 nucleotides. The record is from Rfam. Lineage: Eukaryota; Viridiplantae; Streptophyta; Magnoliopsida; Rosales; Moraceae.